This 392-nucleotide ribosomal RNA is filed under the name uncultured bacterium. RNAcentral describes it as "partial 16S ribosomal RNA". It matches the Rfam family "Bacterial small subunit ribosomal RNA", at positions 523 to 918 of the family's 1533-position model. The record is from RNAcentral.
AUACGGAGGAUGCGAGCGUUAUCCGGAUUUAUUGGGUUUAAAGGGUGCGCAGGCGGCCAUUUAAGUCAGCGGUUAAAUCGUGGGGCUCAACCCCAUUCUGCCGUUGAUACUGGGUGGCUUGAUUGCGGUCGAGGUUGGCGGAAUUCGUUGUGUAGCGGUGAAAUGCAUAGAUAUGACGAAGAACACCGAUUGCGUAGGCAGCUGACCAGACCGCAAAUGACGCGCAUGCACGAAAGUGCGGGGAUCGAACAGGAUUAGAUACGCUGGUAGUCCGCACAGUAAACGAUGAAUACUUGUUUUCGGCGAUAUAAUGUCGGAGGCAAAGCGAAAGCGAUAAGUAUUCCACCUGGGGAGUACGCCGGCAACGGUGAAACUCAAAGGAAUUGACGGGG